CGACGAGAGGCAGCAGUAGGGAAUCUUCCGCAAUGGACGAAAGUCUGACGGAGCAACGCCGCGUGAGUGAUGAAGGCUUUCGGGUCGUAAAACUCUGUUGUUAGGGAAGAACAAGUACAAGAGUAACUGCUUGUACCUUGACGGUACCUAACCAGAAAGCCACGGCUAACUACGUGCCAGCAGCCGCGGUAAUACGUAGGUGGCAAGCGUUAUCCGGAAUUAUUGGGCGUAAAGCGCGCGCAGGCGGUUUCUUAAGUCUGAUGUGAAAGCCCACGGCUCAACCGUGGAGGGUCAUCGGAAACUGGGGAACUUGAGUGCAGAAGAGAAAAGCGGAAUUCCACGUGUAGCGGUGAAAUGCGUAGAGAUGUGGAGGAACACCAGUGGCGAAGGCGGCUUUUUGGUCUGUAACUGACGCUGAGGCGCGAAAGCGUGGGGAGCAAACGGGAUUAGAUACCCUGGUAGUCCACGCCGUAAACGAUGAGUGCUAAGUGUUAGAGGGUUUCCGCCCUUUAGUGCUGCAGCUAACGCAUUAAGCACUCCGCCUGGGGAGUACGGUCGCAAGACUGAAACUCAAAUGAAUUGACGGGG
RNAcentral lists this ribosomal RNA (588 nucleotides) under uncultured Bacillus sp. RNAcentral's name for it is "bacterial SSU rRNA". It matches the Rfam family "Bacterial small subunit ribosomal RNA", at positions 339 to 918 of the family's 1533-position model. The record is from RNAcentral. Lineage: Bacteria; Bacillati; Bacillota; Bacilli; Caryophanales; Bacillaceae.